GAUGAACGCUGGCGGCGUGCCUAAUACAUGCAAGUCGAGCGAACGGACGAGAAGCUUGCUUCUCUGAUGUUAGCGGCGGACGGGUGAGUAACACGUGGAUAACCUACCUAUAAGACUGGGAUAACUUCGGGAAACCGGAGCUAAUACCGGAUAAUAUUUUGAACCGCAUGGUUCAAAAGUGAAAGACGGUCUUGCUGUCACUUAUAGAUGGAUCCGCGCUGCAUUAGCUAGUUGGUAAGGUAACGGCUUACCAAGGCAACGAUGCAUAGCCGACCUGAGAGGGUGAUCGGCCACACUGGAACUGAGACACGGUCCAGACUCCUACGGGAGGCAGCAGUAGGGAAUCUUCCCGCAUGGGGCGAAGCCCUGACGGAGCACGCCGCGUGAGUGAUGAAGGUCUUCGGAUCGUNAAACUCUGUUAUUAGGGAAGAACAUAUGUGUAAGUAACUGUGCACAUCUUGACGGUACCUAAUCAGAAAGCCACGGCUAACUACGUGCCAGCAGCCGCGGUAAUACGUANGUGGCAAGCGUUAUCCGGAAUUAUUGGGCGUAAAGCGCGCGUAGGCGGUUUUUUAGUCUGAUGUGAAAGCCCACGGCUCAACCGUGGAGGGUCAUUGGAAACUGGAAAACUUGAGUGCAGAAGAGGAAAGUGGAAUUCCAUGUGUAGCGGUGAAAUGCGCAGAGAUAUGGAGGAACACCAGUGGCGAAGGCGACUUUCUGGUCUGUAACUGACGCUGAUGUGCGAAAGCGUGGGGAUCAAACAGGAUUAGAUACCCUGGUAGUCCACGCCGUAAACGAUGAGUGCUAAGUGUUAGGGGGUUUCCGCCCCUUAGUGCUGCAGCUAACGCAUUAAGCACUCCGCCUGGGGAGUACGACCGCAAGGUUGAAACUCAAAGGAAUUGACGGGGACCCGCACAAGCGGUGGAGCAUGUGGUUUAAUUCGAAGCAACGCGAAGAACCUUACCAAAUCUUGACAUCCUUUGACAACUCUAGAGAUAGAGCCUUCCCCUUCGGGGGACAAAGUGACAGGUGGUGCAUGGUUGUCGUCAGCUCGUGUCGUGAGAUGUUGGGUUAAGUCCCGCAACGAGCGCAACCCUUAAGCUUAGUUGCCAUCAUUAAGUUGGGCACUCUAAGUUGACUGCCGGUGACAAACCGGAGGAAGGUGGGGAUGACGUCAAAUCAUCAUGCCCCUUAUGAUUUGGGCUACACACGUGCUACAAUGGACAAUACAAAGGGCAGCGAAACCGCGAGGUCAAGCAAAUCCCAUAAAGUUGUUCUCAGUUCGGAUUGUAGUCUGCAACUCGACUACAUGAAGCUGGAAUCGCUAGUAAUCGUAGAUCAGCAUGCUACGGUGAAUACGUUCCCGGGUCU
RNAcentral lists this ribosomal RNA (1371 nucleotides) under uncultured bacterium. RNAcentral's name for it is "bacterial SSU rRNA". It matches the Rfam family "Bacterial small subunit ribosomal RNA", at positions 28 to 1381 of the family's 1533-position model. The record is from RNAcentral.